GAGUUUGAUCCUGGCUCAGAACGAACGCUGGCGGCGUGCUUAACACAUGCAAGUCGAACGUGAUCCAGAGCUUGCUCUGGAGAAAGUGGCGCACGGGUGAGUAACGCGUGGAUAACCUGCCCUGGUAUCUGGGAUAACAUCUCGAAAGGGGUGCUAAUACCGGAUAAGCCUACGGGCUCUUCGGAGUCUGCAGGAAAAGGAGGCCUCUAUUUAUAAGCUUCCGUAUCAUGAUGGGUCCGCGUACCAUUAGCUAGUUGGUGGGGUAAUGGCCCACCAAGGCUACGAUGGGUAGCUGGUCUGAGAGGAUGAUCAGCCACACUGGAACUGAGACACGGUCCAGACUCCUACGGGAGGCAGCAGUGGGGAAUUUUGCGCAAUGGGGGAAACCCUGACGCAGCAACGCCGCGUGAGUGAUGAAGGCCUUCGGGUCGUAAAGCUCUGUCAGAGGGGAAGAACCGCCGGGUGGCUAAUACCUGCCUGGUCUGACGGUACCCUCAAAGGAAGCACCGGCUAACUCCGUGCCAGCAGCCGCGGUAAUAC
RNAcentral lists this ribosomal RNA (540 nucleotides) under uncultured Geobacteraceae bacterium. Its description in RNAcentral is "bacterial SSU rRNA". It matches the Rfam family "Bacterial small subunit ribosomal RNA", at positions 9 to 526 of the family's 1533-position model. The record is from RNAcentral. Lineage: Bacteria; Pseudomonadati; Thermodesulfobacteriota; Desulfuromonadia; Geobacterales; Geobacteraceae.